CACCUGUACCAUGAGCUGCGUUCAAGACAUGUGUAAUGCCCAGUCUCUUCAAACGGCUUUUGUUCACUGCAACACUCUUUUCUGCUAUGAAGACAUUAGGCCAGACUUCAUCCACAGCAUCUCUAGGAGUCUCCAGCCUGUCCUUUACAAGUGCCCUCUGCAAGUCCAUGACACACGGAGUGUUAAACAAGCUGGUGUCAUCAAUCUUUUCUUUAACUCGGUUGUAUAGAUCUUCCACCAUCAACUGCUGUGCAGACUCUAACAUCU
RNAcentral lists this long non-coding RNA (267 nucleotides) under Gallus gallus (chicken). Lineage: Eukaryota; Metazoa; Chordata; Aves; Galliformes; Phasianidae. The record is from RNAcentral.